This 376-nucleotide ribosomal RNA is filed under the name uncultured bacterium. Its description in RNAcentral is "bacterial SSU rRNA". It matches the Rfam family "Bacterial small subunit ribosomal RNA", at positions 524 to 898 of the family's 1533-position model. The record is from RNAcentral.
UACGGGGGGUGCGAGCGUUAAUCGGAAUUACUGGGCGUAAAGCGCAUGUAGGCGGUUUGAUCAGUCGGAUGUGAAAUCCCCGAGCCUAACCUGGGAAUGGCAUUCGAUACUGUCAGGCUAGAGUAGGCUAGAGGGAAGGGGAAUUCCGCGUGUAGCAGUGAAAUGCGUAGAUAUGCGGAGGAACACCAAUGGCGAAGGCACCUUUCUGGGGUCAUACUGACGCUGAGAUGCGAAAGCGUGGGGAGCAAACAGGGUUAGAUACCCUGGUAGUCCACGCCCUAAACGAUGUCAACUAGUUGUUGGGAGGGUUUAACCUUUCGGUGACGAAGCUAACGUAUUAAGUUGACCGCCUGGAGAGUACGGCCGCAAGGUUGAA